AUUAUACUCCCUCCGUCUGGAAAUACAUGUCGGAAAAAUGGAUGUAUCUAGAUGUAUUUUAGUUUGGGAUACAUUCAUUUUUAUCCAUUUAUCUGACAAGUAUUUUCGAACGGAGGGAGUAGUAC
Molecule: non-coding RNA, 125 nt
Organism: Triticum aestivum (bread wheat)
Lineage: Eukaryota; Viridiplantae; Streptophyta; Magnoliopsida; Poales; Poaceae
Source: Rfam